CUCCGGAGGGAAACGGACGGUGAGUAACACGUGGGUAACCUUGUUUUGCUAAGAGUGGGAUAACUUCCGGGAAACCGGGGCUUAAUACCGGAGUGGUUGUUUGAACCGCAUGGUUCAAACAUAAAAGGGGGCUUUGGGCUUACCAUUUAAAGAGGGCCCCGCGGCGCUAUUAGCUUAGGUGGAGAGGCUAACGGCUCCACCAAGGCGACGAUCGUAGCCAACCGUAGAGGGUUUUUGGCCACACUUGGGACAUGAGACACGGCCCAGACUUCUACGGGAGGCAGCAGUAGGGAAUCUUUCCGCAAUGGACAAAAGUUUGACGGACCACGCCGCGAGAGUGAUGAAGGUUUCGGGACAAAAAGCUUUUGUUGAAAGGGAAAAACAAGGUGCCGUUAAAUAGGGGGGCCCUUUGACGGACAAAACCAGAAGCCACGGAUACUACGUGCCAGGAGCCGCGAAAAUACGAAGGGUGAAAGCGUUGUCGGAAUUAUGGGCGAAAAGGGCUCGAGGGGUUUUAAAAGUAAGAUGGAAAAGCCCCCGGGUCAAC
RNAcentral lists this ribosomal RNA (547 nucleotides) under uncultured bacterium. Its description in RNAcentral is "bacterial SSU rRNA". It matches the Rfam family "Bacterial small subunit ribosomal RNA", at positions 86 to 613 of the family's 1533-position model. The record is from RNAcentral.